Molecule: ribosomal RNA, 482 nt
Filed under: uncultured bacterium
Lineage: Bacteria
Description: partial 16S ribosomal RNA
Rfam family: Bacterial small subunit ribosomal RNA
Source: RNAcentral
AUUGAACGCUGGCGGCAUGCCUUACACAUGCAAGUCGAACGGUAACAGGUCUUCGGAUGCUGACGAGUGGCGAACGGGUGAGUAAUACAUCGGAACGUGCCCAGACGUGGGGGAUAACGAGGCGAAAGCUUUGCUAAUACCGCAUACGAUCUAAGGAUGAAAGCAGGGGACCGCAAGGCCUUGCGCGUUUGGAGCAGCCGAUGGCAGAUUAGGUAGUUGGUGGGAUAAAAGCUUACCAAGCCGACGAUCUGUAGCUGGUCUGAGAGGACGACCAGCCACACUGGGACUGAGACACGGCCCAGACUCCUACGGGAGGCAGCAGUGGGGAAUUUUGGACAAUGGGCGAAAGCCUGAUCCAGCAAUGCCGCGUGCAGGAUGAAGGCCUUCGGGUUGUAAACUGCUUUUGUACGGAACGAAAAGGCUCUGGCUAAUACCUGGGGCACAUGACGGUACCGGAAGAAUAAGCACCGGCUAACUACGUG